RNAcentral lists this long non-coding RNA (1502 nucleotides) under Ananas comosus (pineapple). RNAcentral describes it as "long non-coding RNA (ACOM_LNC023772)". Lineage: Eukaryota; Viridiplantae; Streptophyta; Magnoliopsida; Poales; Bromeliaceae. The record is from RNAcentral.
UAAAGAAGAAAAUAAUCUUUUGAUAUAUUUUUGUCAUUUUUAAGAGUAUUUUUAUGGUCGCUUCCGUGUUAUCGAGUCGUUUUCGAUGAUGGGACUUUCGAAUCGGCGAUCAGCUCCGUUAUGUUUGAUUCAGAAUAUUUGAAGUAUCUAGUAAAUAAAUUUCGUAAUUAUUCUAUAUUAUUUACCUAGUGAUCGAAGUAGCCCAAAAUUAAUAAUUUUAAUAAUCGUUGUGAGCUAUUUACAAAUUUACCAAUGUAAAAAUAUUUAAAUCACGGAAAAUUUUGAUAGAAAAUUAUUUUUUACUAUAUAAAGCAAGAUCGGUGUCUUUUAUCUAAAAUUUUAAUACCACAUCAUCAUUUUUUAUGAGAUUUUUAUUUUUAAUCUCUAGAUAAAUAAUAUUGAAAAAUUAUAAAAUUUAUUUUCUAAAUAGUUUCAAUAUUUUAGAUCAAGACUAAUAGAGCAGAUAGUCGAUUUAGAAUUCUUAGUAUCGAAAACGACUUGAUAACACGAAUGUUACUGCGCUUUUAAAAGCACAAAAGCUGGACUCUGUUUCACGUUAGUAAGGUGAUUGGUAAAUAAUAUCGAAAAAUUAUAAAAUUUAUUUUCUAAAUACUUUCAAUACUUUAUAUCAAGACUAAUAGAACAGAUCGUGGAUUCAUAAUUCUUAGUAUCGAAAAUGACUUGAUAACACGGAUGUUGCUGCGCUUGUAAAAGCACAAAAGCCAGACUUUGUUCUACGAUAACAAGAUGAUUGGUAAAUAAUACCGAAAAAUUAUAAAAUUUAUUUUUAAAUACUUCAAUAUUUUAUAUCAAGUAUAACGGAGUAGAUCGUCGAUUUAGAAGUUUCAGUAUCGAAAACGAUUUGACAGCACAGAUGCCACCGCGCUUUUAAAAACACGCAAGCCGAACUCUAUGCUACAGUAGUAAGAUGAUUGGGUAGUUGUUGGGGUAGUUUUUUUGCGUACGUGUAAUUGUCCGCGUGGGACCCAAUCGUCUGUUUUGUCGUUUUCCGGUCUUGUCUAGUAGUAAAUGGUGGACCCACCACAGCACCACUUCAAUCAAGGAGAGGUAGGGACAAAAAUAGCUAUUUUUAUUAUCUUUAACUAUAGUAAAAUUUUAUCUCCGAUUUAAUUUGAGAUGACUUAACGGCAAUAAUAUUUUUAAAUAAUAGAAAAAUAUAUGCAGAAUAUAUUUGAAAUAAAAAUUAGACUAAAAUACUAUUAAUAGCACUAAGCUAUUGGUACUAUUAGUUUUUUAAUCCUUUGAUUGAGAAAUGUGCGGUUAAGAUGAUAUGGGCUUCCUAGGGUUGAGUGGGUGGUUGAUUGAAUAGUAUAAUCUAACGGAUAAAAAUAAUCAAAGGGUUAAAUUUAACAGUGGAAAACUCGAUAACACAAGUUUUUGGUGCUAUCGAUAGUAUCCCAGCCGGACUCCUUAAAACAAAAAAAGUAUAGAGAUAAAUAAGAUACUUCAGAAGUUUUGAGGGGUAUCCCUUUAUUACAAAU